AUAGAUAAAGAAGCUCUCCCAGUUGAGAGAAACUCCCAGUAUUGACAGCCACAGGCCCCAAGGAGGAGGGCUGCAAAACCCCUAAGCAGAGGGAGAGACUCUAUAGGCCAGAGAAGCAAUGAUUGAGAACCACAGGCCCCAAGGAACAGAUCUCUGGAGAGUUCCUUGGAUAUUGGCUAGAGUCCUCCAAGGAGUCCGGGAUCCUUCUUUUCCACUCUGCCUUCCUGCACAUGGCUUCUUAUCCAAAAUAUGGAAUGCCUGGUCUUUCUUUACAUAUUCUUUAACACUCUGUCAGGUGACUCCGUGAUCAGCCUCAACAGGUGACCACAGACCCUACCAACUGACUUAAUUGCCAGGCAAUUGCUCACCUGAUAAAUUAGUUCUCAUGAGUAGGAGGCAGCCUAUUGUCUAUAGUGCUUCUUUUUGAACAGAGGACCAUCCAGAUGUAAUGACUCUGUUGUUAGCCCUCGACUGCUACCUCUUGGAAUUCCUGACCAACAUGGAGGUAAAAGGACAACAGUGAAGGCAAACAAGUGUCACAUUGGAAAUGGAGUUUGCAGCUUGAUAAAGACACAGACAGGGUUCAUGAUCUCACAUAUGACUCAGAAGUUGUAUUAGAUUUCCUGAACCAUGACAACCUGUUCCUGGUGUCGAUAAUGGCAUUGGUGAAUCUGAAGCUUGAUUUCAGGAGGACAGAUUCCGGGAGCGCGUGGCGUUCACCAACUGAGACCUUCAGGCAAUGCCUCACCAGAUAUGGAGCCAGGUUUCAUGACAGCUUAAGGACUAGCAAAAAACUUCAGUGACCCUGGACAUUCAGAGCAUGUAAGGCUGAAAGGGCCAGAGGAAAAUGAGCCAUGGGAUUUCACUGGUGGACCUUGUGCCUAUAGGAAAAGAGGAGAUCUGAAGUCUUAAUGGACUGAGGUCCCUCCUUGGUAACCUCCGCCACAUUCUGGAGGUGGGAGGGGGAGAAGAAAUAAUAUGAAACUUUGAAUUGUUCUGCAAUUUUGCCUUUUGAGAAAAUUUGGGUUAGAAAUAAGCCUUCUUCAGAGCACUAAGCAUAUUCUCCUUAGAUCCUUAAUGAGUUGAUUCUGUGGACUUUUGCUCCUGCAAAUUGGACUACUAUGAAAUGCCUGCAGCCGAAGAGGUUUCAUAUGCUUUUUUCUCCAAGGUUAUCCAUCCAGGUGACUGCUUGCCUGGGUAAAUCUCACAUGGAAAAUUACACUCGUGGUCUGGAUUGAAUCCUGGUUUUGUUUCUCUCCCCGAGAAACUGAAAGCCCACUUCGACAAAGAGAUCAACAUAACCUUGAGAAUGGACCUGCUCACAAAAGGUGCAUAAAACAAAUAGCAAGGAAGUAUUCAGUCCCUAGGCAUCUGCCAAAAGGGGAAAACAAGUUGCUCUUUCUUUGAGGAAGCAUAUUCCCCUGUUCAUUUUGUGGCAGGCACGCUGUCUUUAAUUUAGGCUCGCAUGCUGAAAAUACUUGUGCACACGAAGUAACUUGCUGUGCAUGCUCAUGUCCAUAAAGUUAUUUAUGUGCUAAAGGGAUGGCAAGAAAGAUCAGGGCUUUAGAUGACAUGUAUAAUUAAAGACUAUCCUCCACAUGCAGAGAGAAAAAAGUUUUUCUUUAGCUUGAUUGGCUUGCUGAUUCUAUGCCAAGAGGAGCCAUGUAAGCCUGACCACAAUAUUUAUUCCUUAACUAUUCGUUCCCAUGGACUGGAAGAAAAUAUUCCUGUGUGUGACAUGCAUGCGUUCUAACAUUUCUUUGCUGCUGCAAAAUAAAAAGCUAAAUAAGAGCUUCAGAA
Chelonia mydas (Green sea turtle) is the source of this 1800-nucleotide long non-coding RNA. RefSeq lists it as uncharacterized. The transcript is spliced from 2 exons. NCBI's taxonomy places the organism in Eukaryota, Metazoa, Chordata, Testudines, Cheloniidae. The record is from RefSeq and is a predicted model, not a curated record.